AUUUCCCCAAUGGGUUCUCCGGAUUUCUGGAGACUUGUAGGGGUUGUGGGUUUUUUUCGAUGUGUCGUCUCCGGACGGGCGGUGCAGGGUAGUCGAGUUGGACUUGGUGGAAUUCGGUUUAUUCGAAUCCGUCGAGUCUGGCUGGCACGAUCGUGUGCGGCUGUGUGCUGGACGGUGUAGGGUAGGCUGCUUGGACAUGGUCGGUUCGAGGAUCGAUUCGAGGGCCGGCCUGUCGAUGAUGUGAUGUAUGCGGUCUAGGGUAGGCUGGUUUGUCUUGGUCCAAUUUGAUGUCGGCUCCCGUGCAGACCAGAGUGAGGGCGGUCCAGGGUAGGUCCAGGGUAGGCAGCUUAGAUUUGAUCGAUCUGGAGGUCGAUUCUCCGGCUGGCGGAUCUGACACUGUCGAAACGAGAUGCGAGCGGUGUAGGGUAGGCCAGUUUUGUCGUCGCCAGGUUGCGAUUCGGACGAGAUAUGUGGUCUAGGGUAGGGUCUAGGGUAAGUAGAGUUCGAGUUUCGUCGCCAACAGUUUGCUGUAUGUGUAGGGUAGGUGCAGGGUAAGCAAAUCUCUCUCUGGCCAGACGGUUUUGCGGUCUGGUGGUCGUGAGUCGAUUUUUUUGUUUU
This 618-nucleotide unclassified non-coding RNA is filed under the name Fusarium oxysporum. RNAcentral describes it as "partial miscellaneous RNA". The record is from RNAcentral. Lineage: Eukaryota; Fungi; Ascomycota; Sordariomycetes; Hypocreales; Nectriaceae.